UGGAGAAUUGAUUCAAUUCCAAGUUGCUUUAUACAAAGAAAUACACGUCUUAGGCAGAUUCUCAAGGAACCUUAGCUUAUUCAAUUUAGGUAUAAGUAUACGAAAUUCCAAUGUUCACAAUAGCUGAAACAUCUAUUUUUGGUAGCAACGUAAGUUUCAAUUUUGGAGAAGUAUAUUAUAAUUUUUCUAAAGAACAACACGCGGGUUUCGCUCACCGCUUCGAUCUCGUUAUUCCACUUUGUCGUGCUGACGAAUCCGGGUUUUCUUCAAAGUGAAGUAAGGUGGAAGAAGAAUACUUCUUUGCAUAUAAGAUCAGUGAAGCCCGAGACCUAAGUUAAGACUAACUUGAGAAGCGACAAGGUAUGUAAAGCUAUCCUUUCUUUCUUUUUGGGAUGAUCCUUAUCAUAUGAAUGAACACAGUGAGCAAGCAAGUUCCAAAGACUCUAUUCUUAGAGAGUGUAGAGAUAUUUGUAUCGUUGGCCUCCUAUGUUUUAUGUCCAUAACUCCUAGAGACUUUUCAUAUUAGCUUCUUAUGUCACCAGAGGGGUUCAGAGUAUUCUUUUCCGAGUUUUCCAUGCAUUUAUACGUAUUAUAUUAUAUAUGGAUCGGGUUGUACGUUCCUCGGCACUAACAUAUUAUAUUAUAUAUGGAUCGGGCCUUACGUUCCUCGGCACUAACAUAUUAUAUUAUAUUUAUGGAUCGGGCCGUACGUUCCUCGGUACUAACAUAUUAUAUUAUAUAUAGAUCGGGUCGUACGUUCCUCGGCACUAACAUAUUAUAUUAUAUAUGAAUCGGGUCGUACGUUCCUCUGCACUAACAUAUUAUAUUAUAUAUGGAUCGGGUCGUACGUUCCUCGGCACUAUUAUAUUAUAUAUGGAUCGGGCUGUAUGUUCCACAGCGCUAUCAGUUAUAUUAUAAGCUAUGCCUAUCAUACGCCGUAGAGUCAGUUUCUGUCAUAUAGAGUUAUGCAGAUAUUCUCAGAUGUUAGCCGCAGAUGCUUUCUAUUAUUGAGGUUGGUUUUCAUGAUUCAUCUGUACUUGAUGUUCUUAUGCUUUAUAUACUCAGUACAUAUUCUGUACUGACCCCCUUUCUUCGGGGGGCUGCGUUUCAUGCCAGCAGGUACAGACACUCGAUUUGGUGAUCCCCCAGCUUAGGAUUUCUAGUCAGCUGUCUUGGAGAGCUCCGUUGUUCCGGAGACUAGACUUUUGAUCAGUGAAGCCCGAGACCUAAGUUAAGAUUAACUUGAGAAGCGACAAGGUAUGUAAAGCUAUCCUUUCUUUCUUUUUGGCAUGAUCCUUAUCAUAUGAAUGAACACAGUGAGCAAGCAAGUUCCAAAGACUCUAUUCUUAGAGAGUGUAGAGAUAUUUGUAUCGUUGGCCUCCUAUGUUUUAUGUCCAUAACUCCCAGAGACUUUUCAUAUUAGCUUCUUAUGUCACCAGAGGGGUUCAGAGUAUUCUUUUCCGAGUUUUCCAUGCAUUUAUACGUAUUAUAUUAUAUAUGGAUCGG
Molecule: long non-coding RNA, 1506 nt
Organism: Lycium barbarum (goji berry)
Lineage: Eukaryota; Viridiplantae; Streptophyta; Magnoliopsida; Solanales; Solanaceae
Exons: 3
Source: RefSeq, a predicted model, not a curated record